CACCGCUACCAUGACAAACCAUGGAUACGCACAACUUCGUAGGUGUUUCACUGGGGCGCCAACUGAAACAGCUGUAGGUAGAGGUGGCCGUCAGCAGCAGAAAAUCGCUAGAAUCGCAAGCCACUAGCCGUCAGUAGAGUAGUCAGUCAGUAUUAAUCGCGAUACGGAGUUAGUUGUGCGCGCUACGAGAAAGAUCGUCGAGUCCGAGACUCUUACUCCGACCACCUAAACACUCGAUCACUCACCAACCCACUAGCCAAACAUCAACCUAAUCCUCCUUAUUUUGCCUUUGUUUUUCUAUUUGUUUGGUCUUGCAACGCAGUCAUUUGACGCCGUGACGGUCAAACAGCUGGUGAACGGGUACAAGCCGGAUUCUACUAGUCAAGAGACGUUCUCACAGUGAAUUAAAUUUUUUUUUUUUAAUAAAACCAAAAACCACCGGGUAGUGUUCAGCAGACAAAAAAUGAAAAUCAACAUUUGUUGCCACGCGCACCGAUUACAAGAAAAUUAAAAUUCGUAGAUAUAUGUGGGCAUUUAUUUAACAGCGCCUUUGAAGUUCAAGACACUUAAAUGCAUAGCCAUUUGCAAAUAAAACAAAAAGAAAAAUGACAAAUCUGCAAUAGGUACAAAACAAUUAAGUAUUCCGUUUAAUUACUGGCUAACAACAGUUAAAAUAAUUAGUAAAACGUGGUGUAAUGUAUUCAAGCUGUUUCGCAUGCGCUGCUAACUACAUAUGUAUGUAUGUACAUUGAAUUAUUCACUAAAGUAGCGCGCUGAAGUCCGCGUUGUUUCACAUUUUCCACUGAAACGGUGAAUUCCCAUGCAGAAUAAUAAUUUGCAGCACACCAACAACAUUAAGUUCUCUGACAAGCACAUCACAGCCAACGUUCGCGUCCCGGAGUGCGGUUUAUAAUAGAGGGAAUCACGUUCGUAACAACCGUUAAGUGUGUUCCAGCCCAAGUCAUUUACCUUUAUACGCACCUAGGCCUUACAUAUACAAUAUCAAUAUCCAACAAAGCAGAUCUUUCAGUUUUACUUAUUUUCUUAAACAAGAAAUAAAUAAAAAAUAAAAUCGUGUAAAGGAUUGGUGUUUUUCUACAUAAAGAAUUAAGUUGGUAAUAAAUAAAUGUACAUGGUUUUAUGAACGCACCAGUGCUUAUUUUACAAAGCGAAUACAAGUACAUAUAUCAGCUGUGAAAGUUUUUGCUGCUACUACAAGUGUGAGACAG
Long non-coding RNA from Rhagoletis zephyria (snowberry fruit fly), 1229 nucleotides. RefSeq lists it as uncharacterized. NCBI's taxonomy places the organism in Eukaryota, Metazoa, Arthropoda, Insecta, Diptera, Tephritidae. The record is from RefSeq and is a predicted model, not a curated record.